RNAcentral lists this ribosomal RNA (253 nucleotides) under uncultured bacterium. RNAcentral describes it as "partial 16S ribosomal RNA". It matches the Rfam family "Bacterial small subunit ribosomal RNA", at positions 524 to 776 of the family's 1533-position model. The record is from RNAcentral.
UACGGGGGGGGCAAGCGUUGCUCGGAAUUACUGGGCGUAAAGGGCUUGUAGGUGGCCAACUAAGUCAGACGUGAAAUCCCUCGGCUUAACCGGGGAACUGCGUCUGAGACUGGAUGGCUUGAGUGUGGGAGAGGGAUGCGGAAUUCCAGGUGUAGCGGUGAAAUGCGUAGAUAUCUGGAGGAACACCGGUGGCGAAGGCGGCAUCCUGGACCAUAACUGACACUGAUAAGCGAAAGCCAGGGGAGCAAACGGG